Carassius auratus (goldfish) is the source of this 3646-nucleotide long non-coding RNA. NCBI's taxonomy places the organism in Eukaryota, Metazoa, Chordata, Actinopteri, Cypriniformes, Cyprinidae. The record is from Ensembl.
GUGUUACUGGGAAUCUAAAAGAUAGGCUACAUCUUUGUACCUUAUUUCCUCCUAAAUAAUACAUAUUAGUAGUAAAAUGUUUGUCUCUGUUGAAAAUUCAAACAUGGAAUAUGUUGGAUACUUGUAUCCAAACAAUGUUAAAAUGCAUUAAAUGUAUAGCCUAGUUUGUGCUUUCCCUGGUUAUAAUAUCAACAUGAUCUUGGCAUUGCAGCAUCUCGUGACCGAUAAGUAGGCUACUUAUAGCACUGGGCAAUGAUGAAGUCUGCUAAAGUCUACUUUGAAGAAAUGCGUGAUGCUAGGUCCGCAUUACAGUGAACAGUAGGGGUCGCACAAACACUAUAUUUGAUUGACUUCACGCUAGCACGCCGCUAGAUGCUUGUCACAGUCAUUAACCAAAUUAUUUUAUUUACAGUUUAGCUAACGACGUUGCAAUUUGCCUCAUUUUCUACCAAAUUAUACAAAUAUGAUUUAUUUACAGAAUGCAGCGUUCUUUUAUCAUAUAGCUAUCUGCAUAGAAUUAGCGUCAUAGAUAAAGAACGCGUGCACGGGUAAUUGAAACCAGUUCACCAGGAAACGGUGCGAUUGUUUAGAUGCCACGACGUUGCUGAAUCUUUUCUAGUAUGACACGAAAAACGCUUGGUUCCACUGGGGCUCGAACCCAGGACCUUCUGCGCGGGAGCCGAAAAUACAGGAUGAAGGUGAAGGUGAUCUUCCCAGGCAAAAUUAAAGUGUGCUUCAGGAAAGGACCAACUGGAUAUCUGAGACAAGAUCCCUCAGAUGAAGCCAAGAGGAUCAAAGACAACCCCAAUCUCCAGGACAAAUCAGCCCCUCAGGGGGAAGACAAGGUCAAGGAAAAUGCUCGCUCUGUUGUCUUCAUGAGAGGAGGAGAUGUGUCAGACAGACAGGAGGUGCUGGGAGAGUAUGUGCUUCAGUUUGGAAAGUACAAAGGCAAGUCAUUCCGGUGGCUGCUUGAGAAUGAUGUAGGCUAUACCAUGUUCUUGACUAAGAAGGUUGAGGACGAGGAGAGAGCCGGACAGUUUAAACCAGAGGGUCCCAAGAAGGACAGCCUACUUUCAUUUCUUGACUACAGUAGAAGCUUCCAGGAAAUCAAGGACCUCAUAAAGUAUUUAUCUGGAAGAUCAGUGGCACCACCUGUAAGAAAUGAAGAUGACAACUUGGUUGGCUUUGGGAUUAAUGCAGACAAGACUUGGUGGGAUAUUUGGGAGAGCAGAGCAGAUGGAUAUGCUGCAUUCAUCCUCCAAAAACAGUGUGUUCCAGGCAGCAAAAUGUAUCGGCUGCAGCAAUACCUCACUCAGAAAAAGAGACAGCUUCAGAGUGUUUCAGAGGAACUUGCUUCCUCUGGCCUUGCAGCAUCUGCCUCUCAUCCUCUAGAAAUGGAGGAUGAUGAAGAAUUGGAGAGAAUGAUGCUUUCUAUAUCCCCAUCAAAACUCCAAGGCCAACUGAAAGUGGAGGAGGGUGAAGAAUUGGGUAGGAUGAUGCUACCCGCAUAUUCAUCUAAAAUUCCAGGCCAGCUGAGUGAGAACCACAUACAUGCCCGAACACACAUACACUUCAAUCCUCUAUAUGCAACAUCGGGUCCCUAAUGAACAAAUAAUUGAAAAUAUGGGAUACCCAGAAUAAUCAAAUAUCUAACUUAAUACAAAACCAAUAGUUAGGAUUAAUUCCUAAUUAUAAACGAUAUAUAUGUAAUAACCAUUUGAAAUUGGAGUCAGAUUAAGCGUGCAGCUAAAGUAAAAUUGAAAAUAAAUAAAAAAAAUUAACUGAAAUUCACAGGGGCACUGAAAAGACAUACACGCAUAAUACCUUCGCUCAUGCCAUUGGAUUCCGUCGUUGGGCCUACAGGUCAUGAUCCUGACACAUUGUUAUUCAGCGUUAAGAUGGUAAAUGUUUGGGAUGUUACAAUGUUUCUGCGCUGUGCACAAGUUAUUGGAGUCCAUAUGGCCAAAUGUCCUCAGACUGCACAUUGGGGAUGAUUCUGACAUCAAUCAGGAUUAUCCAUCCAACAUACUAACAAAUAACUGUUUGUUUAUUAGGCUUGAUCAGGCAAGUUCUACCGCCUGUAAAUUGUUUUAUUAACAGGAAAGGCUUUUAUAUGCCAUUCUGUCUGUUUAUGUUAUAACUGCUUGAAAGUUAAAUUAUCUCCACUAUGCUUUCAGGUUCAGAAGUUGUUGGAGUCCCAGUGGUCAAAGGUCUUAUUCUACUGCAUACAAGGGAUGAUUCUGACAUGAAUCAGGAUUAUCUGUUCUGCAUUGAUUUGUUGCUGUUUGUUGUUUAGGCCAUGUUCAGGCCUGUUCUUAUUCUUGUGUUCAAUUGUUCUACUAACAUUGAAGGCAUUUAUAUCUCAUCAUUGACGGUAAGUACAGAGUUCUUUUUUUGCAUGUUUUUUCCAUGCUUUACUUAAGAGGAUUGGUAUGUACAUGAUUUAAAGAGUAAUGCAGAAGUACAGCAAAAGUACAAAUAUGUAUUAAUUUGGACUAGAAGGAUGCAUCCCAUUUGAUACAUGAAGCUGUAGUUUACUCAUGUAAUGUAGACCCAUUCACAUACCUCACCCCUAAUAUUAUAAAGAGUCUUGACGUGUUCUAUGGGUUUGCAUGCAUUUACAUUACUAUUUAUUAAGACAUUUACUAAGGGACAGUACUACAGGGUAUUUGAAUGACAUUACAUUUUUCUGUGUUAGGGAGGCGUAAACCACCAGCAACACUCUCAAAACCAGAACGGCCUGAUGAAUAUAGUGCUACUGCAUCUCCAUGGUCAGGUUGGUAUAUGGGCGUGUAAACAUGUCGACUCUACUGUAUGGAUAUGCCUGUUCCUCAUCAGUGUUAUUUUUUUUCACCAAUUCCAUUCACUCCAGUGACGGUUCCUUUGCCAGUAUCUCCAGAGUUGCUUGAAUUAUCUAUUAGCAAGACCACAUUGGCUUUGAGACCAGCGCAGGAAACCGUGUUCUGUCAGUGUAAGGACUUAACAUAAUUUUACAUUACAUACAUUUACAUUUAGUCAUUUAGCAGACGCUUUUAUCCAUAGCGACUUACAAAUGAGGACAAUGGAAGCAAUCAAAAACAACAACAGAGCAAUGAUAAACAAGUGCCAUAACAAGUCUCAGUAAGCUUAAACGCAGGGCUUUUAAAUAAUAGAAGAAUAGAAUAGAGCAAGGUAGUGUUAGAGGACUUUUUUAUAUAAUUGUACAAUAAAUGAAAAGAAAAUAGAAUACAAAAAGAUAAUUAAGAUAGAUAGUUAGAUUUUUUUUUAGUAUAGAAUAGUGUAGAAUAGUCAGUGCUAAAGUUAGAGUAUCAAAUAAUGAUGGAAGAGAUGUGUUUUAAGCCGAUUCUUGAAGAUGGCUAAGGACUCAGCUGCUUGGAUUGAUUAAUUUUAAAGAGAUUUAACAUUUUGACAAAUGUAAUGCUCAUCUAUGAUUAAUGUCACCCAUGUCAUCCUGCAGCCCUCCUCCCAGUGACCACUGCACAGUCUACAACCUCUACUCCUCCCUCAGGACCCCCUGCAGCUGCUGGCCAGUCUUUCUCUGGAAUCCCUGCAGCCUCUACUGGGUACCCCUCAAUUCAGCUGGAGGAGAAUCAUGCUGUUCCACCACUGCCAAGCUAUGAGCAGGAUGUGAGCCGAUGGCACUGCU